UUAGGACAGAUGUAUAAGGAGCAUAUACACGCUUUUAUACAAAUCUUCAGUUAACAGUCGUGGAAAGGACUCAAGCUCUACUCCAUCUCCACCUCCUUGGGUUUGGGGAGUCACAUCUGGGAAGAGACAGUAGAUAAUGGAGCCAGAGAGCUGACUCACCACGUGGGAUGGCUGUGGGCAAGUUUCCCAGGUUGCACAAGCCACCGGGUUUUCUGAAACAGAUGGAAAGACCGCCUCUGCAGGCCGCUGGCUGACUUCAAGAUAGUCGUGCUGUAUCAAGUGGUGUGAGAAGGAAAGACCCAUAAGAGACUUUGUCAUCCAAGUUUCAGAUUCCCCUGGAUUCCUUAGCGAUAAGACAUGCAUGGCUCAUUACAUAUUCUAUUUAUGAAAUUUC
RNAcentral lists this long non-coding RNA (394 nucleotides) under Homo sapiens (human). RNAcentral describes it as "HSALNT0353462". Lineage: Eukaryota; Metazoa; Chordata; Mammalia; Primates; Hominidae. The record is from RNAcentral.